GCGCGAAAACUUUACAAUGCUGGCAACAGCGAUAAGGGAACCUCGAGUGCCAGGUUACAAAUCUGGCUGUCGAGAUGCCUAAAAAGCAUUUCAUAGCAAGGGCCGGGCAAGACCGGUGCCAGCCGCCGCGGUAACACCGGCGGCUCGAGUGGUAACCGUUAUUAUUGGGUCUAAAGGGUCUGUAGCCGGCCGGAUAAGUCUCUUGAGAAAUCUGGCAGCUUAACUGUCAGGCUUUCAGGAGAUACUGUCUGGCUCGAGGCCGGGAGAGGUGAGAGGUACUUCAGGGGUAGGGCUGAGAUCUUGUAAUCCUUGAAGGACCGCCAGUGGCGAAGGCGUCUCACCAUAACGGACCUGACGGCAAGGGACGAAAGCUAGGGGCACGAAAC
This 386-nucleotide ribosomal RNA is filed under the name uncultured prokaryote. RNAcentral's name for it is "bacterial SSU rRNA". It matches the Rfam family "Archaeal small subunit ribosomal RNA", at positions 339 to 725 of the family's 1478-position model. The record is from RNAcentral.